UACGGGGGGGGCAAGCGUUGUUCGGAAUUACUGGGCGUAAAGGGCUCGUAGGCGGCCAACUAAGUCAUACGUGAAAUCCCUCGGCUUAACCGGGGAACUGCGUCUGAUACUGGAUGGCUAGAGAUUGGGAGAGGGAUGCGGAAUUCCAGGUGUAGCGGUGAAAUGCGUAGAUAUCUGGAGGAACACCGGUGGCGAAGGCGGCAUCCUGGACCAACACUGACGCUGAGGAGCGAAAGCCAGGGGAGCAAACGGG
RNAcentral lists this ribosomal RNA (253 nucleotides) under uncultured bacterium. Its description in RNAcentral is "partial 16S ribosomal RNA". It matches the Rfam family "Bacterial small subunit ribosomal RNA", at positions 524 to 776 of the family's 1533-position model. The record is from RNAcentral.